Long non-coding RNA from Humulus lupulus (European hop), 298 nucleotides. RefSeq lists it as uncharacterized. Lineage: Eukaryota; Viridiplantae; Streptophyta; Magnoliopsida; Rosales; Cannabaceae. The record is from RefSeq and is a predicted model, not a curated record. The transcript has 3 exons.
AGUGCUUUUGCUGGUGUUGAAGUUGGCUCGAUGCUUAUUUGUUUCGUCGAUUUCAGUUAUUCAGGAUUCACUCCACGAACAUAAACAACGGGUGGACUUGCCAAAAAGUACUUUUCCUUCGGAUAAAGAGAGAAGACAUUUCUACCUUAGGUUAAAGAGAGAGAGAGAAGACAUUUCUGUAGAGCAUCAGGUUUAAUCCUUAAUGGGCUUAUAUGCUUAUAGAGAUUGAAUGAUCUUAUUUGUUUGUUAUUCUGUUUAAAUCAAACUUGAACUAAAUUUAUUGUUUGUAUUGGUAUUA